This 523-nucleotide long non-coding RNA is filed under the name Solanum tuberosum (potato). RNAcentral describes it as "long non-coding RNA (STUB_LNC003695)". Lineage: Eukaryota; Viridiplantae; Streptophyta; Magnoliopsida; Solanales; Solanaceae. The record is from RNAcentral.
UGCUUUGAUGGAAGAGAUCUCCUCCUCCUAGUUCUCUCAUUACUACUUUAAUCUUCUUUGGGGCUAAGCUCCUUAUUAACAAAUGGACUAUUUUUACUCUAACAAACUUUGUCUUCUUCUAACUGUAGGAUGAUUAUGCAACACAUCUUUUGGUUCUUCCACAACUACAGCCAUAUGAACUUCAGUCAUAGCUAGCUUGUCAAUUUCAUGAAUCGAAUCAUUUAUUUUCUCAGGAGAAUUAACCACUACCGGUUCAUCAACAUUAGUAGCUGAGGAUAUUGAUGUUCUUGCGUGAGUUUGAACUAGAACAGGAAUAUAAGCUGAGGAUAUUGGUGUUUCUGUCUGAGCUUGAACUGGAAUAGGAAUCUGUUGUGCCUUGUCAGUUUUUUGCUUCUGAUUUUUCUGGAGACGGUACCACAACUCUAGUAACUUUUUUAAAUUUCGUUUGAUCCUCUCAAGUCAUUUUGAGGUUGAUAUUGCGCUGAUGAUUCGUGACUUUCCAUAGGUUACGCCUAGGUUUUUC